CGCUGGCGGCGUGCCUAAUACAUGCAAGUCGAACGGUCUUUUCUAUGGAAGCUUGCUUCCACUGAGAAGAUAGUGGCGAACGGGUGAGUAACACGUGGGUAACCUGCCCAUAAGAGGGGGAUGACAUCCGGAAACGGGUGCUAAUACCGCAUAGUUUUUCUUGAUCGCAUGAUUGAGAAAGGAAAGACGGCCUUUGUGCUGUCGCUUAUGGAUGGACCCGCGGCGUAUUAGUUAGUUGGUGAGGUAAUGGCUCACCAAGACGAUGAUACGUAGCCGACCUGAGAGGGUGAUCGGCCACAUUGGGACUGAGACACGGCCCAAACUCCUACGGGAGGCAGCAGUAGGGAAUCUUCCGCAAUGGACGAAAGUCUGACGGAGCAACGCCGCGUGAGUGAAGAAAAGGUUUUCGGAUCGUAAAACUCUGUUGUCAGAGAAGAACAAGUUGGAGAGUAACUGCUCCAGCCUUGACGGUAUCUGACCAGAAAGCCACGGCUAACUACGUGCCAGCCGCUGC
Molecule: ribosomal RNA, 514 nt
Filed under: uncultured bacterium
Lineage: Bacteria
Description: bacterial SSU rRNA
Rfam family: Bacterial small subunit ribosomal RNA
Source: RNAcentral